Molecule: long non-coding RNA, 847 nt
Filed under: Homo sapiens (human)
Lineage: Eukaryota; Metazoa; Chordata; Mammalia; Primates; Hominidae
Description: non-protein coding TMEM44-AS1:13
Source: RNAcentral
CCCCCAGGAAGCCUACCUUGACCGUGUUAGCCCAUUGAGCUCUCACCUGCCUUUCUCUUUGUAUUACCUAUUCCACUGAUUUGCCCCUGAGCACGGACAGCCCUGGCGUUUAUGCGGACAUCUGCCUUGUUGUCUCAGGUAGAUGAUGGGCUCCACGGGAACAGAGCAAACGUUCGCUCCUGCUCCUACACGGUGUUUCCUCUAAACCUGAGGCUCAGCCGACUUGUCAUCACUUAAAACCCAAUUCAGAGCGGGGGGGCACUGCCAGUGAAUAGUUCAUCACCGACUCAGUUUCCCCAUGUGUAUGCUGUGGUAUUGGAUCAGCAACGAGAUAAGAAGAUCUCUCCCAUUUCCAAGCGUCUAUGAUGAUUCUGAGGCACAAGGUCACAUUUGACAGUACUAGGAAACCCAGGAAACAAGAAGCAAAGAUGACAAAGGCUGUGUCUGCCUGGGCAGACGAUCUAUUUGGACAAGAUAAUAGACCCAGGCAUGGACAUGCUCUCCAAGAAAGAUGCCCUGACAGCUGCUCACACUGAAGCUGAAUCGAACAUUCCAAUCCUUAGAGGUUCCAGCGAAGAUCUUGAAGUCUCCCUGAGCCAUUGACACAAUGGCCAUGCCAUCCCAGUGAUAAAACACAAAUUGUGGCCUUGUUUUGGACAGAAAUAAAGAGCCCAGUUUGUUAGUGAUUUACUGAUAAUAACUGAAUCGAGUACUAAUACUUGGCGAUUUUAAAAGCCAUCAUGUUAAAAAGACCACCUGAUUCCCAGUGACCCUGCAGUGACUGGGUUUGGGCAGCUCGUCCCCUGCACCUGUUUGGGGCUGUGCCAGCCACUUCCAGUGAGAACAU